RNAcentral lists this long non-coding RNA (1252 nucleotides) under Brassica napus (rape). RNAcentral describes it as "long non-coding RNA (BNAP_LNC026749)". The record is from RNAcentral. Lineage: Eukaryota; Viridiplantae; Streptophyta; Magnoliopsida; Brassicales; Brassicaceae.
CAGACGAUGUAUGCAAAUUGCCAAAAUUGUCUAACUUUACAUUUUCUUACAACUUCUUCAAUGGAGAGGCUCAAAGUUGUGUUCCCGGAACAAGUCAAGACAAACAAUUCGAUGAUACAAAUAAUUGCUUACAAAAUAGACCAAAACAGAAGCCUGCUAACGAAUGUUUGCCGGUGAUUACUCGUCCCGUGGAUUGUAGUAAAGACAAGUGUGCUGGUGGUGGUGGUGGUGGUGGAGGGGGCGGCGGAUCUAGCCCAUCACCAAAGCCAACACCUAACCCACCAAAAUUGGAAGAGCCAUCUAAACCAAAACCAGAAGAAUCUCCCGAACCACAACAACCUAGUCCAAAACUUGAGACACCAAAAACAUCAGAGCCUUCUAAGCCAAAGGAACCUAAGCCAGACGCACCAAAACAGCAAUCUCCUAAACCAGAAUCACCAAAACAUGAGUCACCAAAAUCAGAACAGCCGAACCCCAAACCUGAGUCACCAAAACAAGAGUCUCCUAACCAACAACCACCAAAAACAGAGACGCCACAAAUGGGGUCACCGCCAGUAAAACCACCAGUAUCAAAUGAUCCGUACGAAGCAUCUCCUAUUAAAAAACGACGUCCUCAACCACCGUCAACCGAAGAAAUACCAUCAUCACAGUCUCCAACACCUCAUGUAUUUUCACCUCCUCCUCCAGUACAUUCUCCUCCACCACCUCCGGCAUACUCUCCCCCACCACCAGUUUAUCCGCCACCACCUCCAGUGUACUCUCCUCCUCCACCAGUAUACUCCCCCCCACCGCCAGUUCACUCUCCGCCACCGCCUGUCCAUUCUCCGCCACCACCAGUCCAUUCACCACCACCACCGGUCCACUCUCCGCCGCCACCAGUCCAUUCACCACCACCGCCAGUCCACUCUCCUCCACCACCAAUCCACUCUCCGCCGCCACCACCAAUUUUCUCCCCACCACCACCUACACCAAUCUACUCUCCACCACCACCACCAGUUCAUUCACCGCCUCCACCAGUCCAUUCUCCACCACCACCACCAGUCCACUCGCCACCGCCUCCAGUUCACUCUCCACCCCCUCCGGUUCACUCCCCACCGCCUCCAGUGCAUUCUCCUCCGCCUCCAGUCCACAGCCCUCCACCUCCAUUACCUGUCUAUUCUCCUCCUCCUCCAGUUUUCUCACCGCCACCAAAACCUACGGCAAUUAUAUCACCGACAACAUCUCCAAUGGCAAAUGUUCCAACACCUUCGUC